AUGGACCGAGUCCAUGUGCACCAAACCCCUUCUUUCCCUUCCCCGCACCACAGAUCGCUCACGUCACGGCCAGAAGGACAAAGCUGCGCAAAACCCUCCCACCUCUCCACCGCCAGAAGCAAGAUGCUCCGACGCCUCUCCGGCGCCGUCGCGGCGCCCCUCCGACGCUGCCUCUGCACGGCGUCCUCGCGCCCUCCCUGGGCCCUGACCUACAGGAUGGCGGCGCUGGGCGCGUCGUCGCCGGCCGCGCGCGCGUCCUUGGACCUCCACGAGCCCCCCUGCGUCACCCAGCUCUCCGUCCCCGCCCACCUGGCCGACGGCAUGGACCUGGCCGCCGCAAGCAUCCAGGCCGCGAGCAGCGACGGGCUCCUCCUCCUCGACUUCGCCGACACCGGCAACUGGCCCGAGGCCAUCCGCGGCUGCGGUGGCAGCAUCACAGCGAUGCCCGGACUGGCGGCGUGCGCCGCCGCCGUCGAUCCGGGCGUCCGGCGCUUCGUCUGCAACCCUCUUAGCGGCCAGCUGUUCCGCCUCCCCGUCCCCAGCAUGGACGCCGCGCUGACGACCACACCCUUCGGCCUGCUCACCCAAUCCGACGGCUCCGACGGCCCGCCUGACAGGUUAGUGGUCGCCCAACUCUGCCUCCGGGCAAGGGACGGCCAGAUGGUCGUGCGCCGCUUUCGGUCCGAGACAGGGGAGUGGGACGAGCCGCCGCUGUUCGUCCCGUCCGCGGCCCCGGCUUGGCGCCCAAUGCCGAACCACGAGGUGGUGGCAUUCGGCGACCGGCUGUGGUGGGUCGACCCUUUCUUUGGUGUCUUCUCCGUCGAUCCAUUCAGCGACCGGCCGGAGCAUGGCUUCGUCGCGCUGCCGCGCCCGCUGCCCAACUUUGACAUCGACGCGCCGCUCAUGCUGUUCCGGCUCUUGGGUGUCAGCGAGGGGAAGCUGCGCUAUGUCGAAUUGACCACUAAGGAGCCGUUUAUGCUCUACUCCUUCUCGCUCGACGACGAGGGGUCCUCCUGGAAGCUAACACAUGAGAAAAGACUGAACCUGGUCUUGUCUGACAAAUCCAUACCUAGGGAAUGUGAAAUGCCGUGGAUUUCUGCAAUUGAUCCAUUCAAUGCCAGCAUUUUCUAUUUCACACACGGUGACCUUGUUUGUGAACUCGACAUUGAUAAGGGGGAGACUGGGAGCAGUUCUUUUCCAGACAGCAUCACAUUCCGGAGCUACAGCUCUGCUUUCUUUGUGCCUGUAAUGCUCCCAGCAUGGAUUGAAUCAUACAACCUCCCGUGUACAGGAACACUUUCGAGAAAGGCGACCAAUGGAACGAGGAAGACUUUGGCAGACAUGCUGGUUCGUGUUGACUGUUGA
Molecule: ribosomal RNA, 1365 nt
Filed under: Triticum aestivum (bread wheat)
Lineage: Eukaryota; Viridiplantae; Streptophyta; Magnoliopsida; Poales; Poaceae
Description: partial small subunit ribosomal RNA
Source: RNAcentral